GACAGAGGGUGCAAACGUUGUUCGGAAUCACUGGGCGUAAAGGGCGUGUAGGCGGGACGGUAAGUCGGGCGUGAAAUCCCUAGGCUCAACCUAGGAACUGCACUCGAAACUACCAUUCUUGAGUGUCGGAGAGGAAAGCGGAAUUCCUGGUGUAGAGGUGAAAUUCGUAGAUAUCAGGAGGAACACCAGUGGCGAAGGCGGCUUUCUGGACGAUAACUGACGCUGAGACGCGAAAGCGUGGGGAGCAAACAGG
This 253-nucleotide ribosomal RNA is filed under the name uncultured bacterium. RNAcentral describes it as "partial 16S ribosomal RNA". It matches the Rfam family "Bacterial small subunit ribosomal RNA", at positions 524 to 776 of the family's 1533-position model. The record is from RNAcentral.